AUAUAAAUAACUAUUGAAUGGUAAGACCUUGACGGAUCAGAAGCAGCCGAUCGCCGCGAGAGGGGAUACGUUAGGGGUUGGACGACGCUGACGCAACGAUGAGGGCAAAGUGGAAGAAGAAGCGGAUGAGGAGGCUGAAGAGGAAACGCAGAAAGAUGAGGCAGAGAUCCAAGUAGAUCCUCAACAACAAGAACAACCUAUCUUGCUCUUCAUUCUCAUUGGUGUCAUUGGGUCUUUGAUCCAUCUCCAACUGAUGGAGAAAGCAAGAAUAAUUAUUCCACUCGUUUCUUUUCCUGUUUCAUGACAAUGUUUUGGUUUCAGACUCUAAAAUUAUCUUAUCAUUCUCUAACUCCUGCAAUUAUCAAGCAACCUUUCUUCUGAAGCUCUAGUUCAUUUCUUCAA
Molecule: long non-coding RNA, 402 nt
Organism: Zingiber officinale
Lineage: Eukaryota; Viridiplantae; Streptophyta; Magnoliopsida; Zingiberales; Zingiberaceae
Exons: 2
Source: RefSeq, a predicted model, not a curated record